GGACAAUGACGAUUUAUAUCAUUGGUCUCGUUCGUCGUAAUGGUGUAUAAAAUCCACCUUGACGACCAUUCUGAUAUAUCACCACCCAUAAACUGAGUCG
Molecule: non-coding RNA, 100 nt
Organism: Capsicum annuum
Lineage: Eukaryota; Viridiplantae; Streptophyta; Magnoliopsida; Solanales; Solanaceae
Source: Rfam